Long non-coding RNA from Gasterosteus aculeatus aculeatus (three-spined stickleback), 1149 nucleotides. Lineage: Eukaryota; Metazoa; Chordata; Actinopteri; Perciformes; Gasterosteidae. The record is from Ensembl.
CUCUUUUAAACUGCUGAGGGGGGAUGUUUCAUCGCCUUUUCUCAUGGGGGUCGGCGAUGGUGCUCCAUGUAUGGUUUGGAUCAACACUGCUGCCGAUGGAAAAGCAAGAGUAAGCCAGCUGUUUAGAUAAGCUGAUGUAAAAAUUCCCCCGAGCCCCUCAUCAUGGCUGGUUGCCUUACCAAGGUCAAGAGAGUGCAUCACCACACCAACAGUGUUUCAUCAGCGUAUUAUGGGAAUGCAGAAGGUGAAGACGGGAAGGAAAAGGCCUGAGGGCUUUGAUGACACGCCAUGAGCCUGUGGUCUGUGUUUCUGACGUUCUCACCACACAGACCUGAGGAUCAUUAGGGUUUAAUCUUUAGCCCUUAAUUCCCCUGUUCUACAGCAGGCUAACCUAACUGUAUGACCUUUGCCCUGCUCCAAAGAAAAUCCUUGACCUUGACUUGGCUAAGUCUGUUUUAACAAGAACCCAUCGAAAGGCUUGGCCUUUGUAUCUCACACCUUACAUUUUGGGGUGAAAAAUCAGUUCAAAUAUAUAUAAACACACAAUGUGUGAGACAAUUAUUUUUUCAUAUCAACUGUAUUUACUCCAUCACCAUCCAUGUUUGAACUGAGGUUGAAACAGUUAAUGGUUUUCGAGGCCAUCUCUGUAAUUGGUUUUGCAGAACCAAUCAACAGGGUGCUUAAUGCUAUGGAAAUUAAAAACAAAGCUGUUUCUUUGAUGUGUGUCUUCUACGCCUGACAACGGGGAGUGAAGGUUAAAACCCAAUGAGCAUGGUCUUUAAACAAGAGGCUGUUUAAAAAGUGCAACACAAUUCCAGGAAAUAUAACACCAAUGAGUACAGAAAGGAUAAAUACUUCAUUAGAUUGUUUUAAAAAGCAGCAGAGCCUUUGAAGAAAAAGAAACCCUAGGGUAUUAUUUCCUUAGUUGGAGGUGCGAAUCAUCAUCAUCAUCACUAUCAUCAUUGCAAUUAAAACGCUCACUCUCACAAUACUUAAUGAAGGAUUCUCCUGUAGUUCCCUAUCUUCCCCUUGGUAGCCUGGCUGUCAACUUCAUUAGCAACAAGCCGUAGUACUAAUCUGACCUCAGCGUGCUGAGUCUUCAGAGGAUCCAUGUCUGUAAAGUGUCAGGGUUGAGUCACUCCAAAUCGC